CCACCAAAGACGUCCCGCUUCGAAAUGUGAAGCUUUUGAAGUCCUACGUCAUCCAGAAUCCACAGAUGGGUUGCUCCAUCCCAGCCAUUGUCCUGAUCACCAAGAUGAACCGUUGGCUGUGCUACCCUCCCGACUCCCGGACGGCUCUUGGUCUCAUGAAAGCCCUGGACACCAGAAAUGCCCGGAAAUCAAGGCGACCCUAAAGGAGGACAAAUCUUCCCUGUGAAUACAACAGCUGAGCCUGCAAGAAAGAGAAACCCAAAGAAAAUUAUUUGGCACAGAAUGAGAAUUAUGACAUUUUGGCUUCCUACUCCACCUGUUAAUAGUAGUCACAUUAACUGCCAUGGCUCCGUGCUGUGGAAUCCUGGGAUUUGUAGUUUGGUGAGGCCUGGCCCUUUUUGGUAGAGAAGUCGCAAGACCUUGCGAAACUACUCAUCCCAGGAUCCCAUUGCAUUGAGCCAUGCAAACUGCAUUCAUCCCACAGUGGAGAUGCAUCCCUAGUUUAAGAUUUUGGGUCUUUUUUUAAGGCCCUGAAGAUGUGAAAUAAAUACAAAAAAAGGGUUUAUCACUGAGUAUGUUGCAACCACUGAGCCACGCGUCCAAAUUGAAAUCGCAUUUAUCUGAACCGAGGCUUCGAAGGCAAAAACCCAUAUGCAAAAUAUUUUCCUUUCUUUAAAACUAGUUCAUGGUUGGCUUUCUCCUUAAAGAUGGCAUUCUCAAAUACAAGGAGUUUCUACUUGUUGCAAAAGGCACCAAAAAGCCCUUUUGCAAGUGUUUGCAAGCACCUGAAAUCAUGCUUGCCUUGGAUGCAUCCAUACUAUAGAAUUAAUGCAAUUUGACCCCACUUUAAAUGCUAUGCAUUCAUGGGAGUUGUAGUUUUACAGCUUCUGUAGCCUUCUCUGCCAAACUACAACUCCCACUUUGCAUCAGAUUGAGCCGAGGUAGUUAAAGUGGUUUCAAACUGAAUUAUUUCUACAAUGUAGAUGCAUCCCUUUCGGAGAGAGACAGGAAAGCUUCAUAUCUGACUUGAAUGGAGAUGCAGGUUGAGCUUCCCUUAUCCAAAAUGCUCAGAAACCAAAGUGUUUUGGAUGUUGAACUUUUUCAGGUUUUAUAUAUGUUUAAAUUAGAGGGAAAUUUAUAUGUUUUUGUAUGCAAUGUUUGUCAUAGUUGUGUGCAUCAUGGGACACAAGCCUAAAUGUGAAAUUCAUUGAUGUUUCCUAUACAACAUAUACACAUAGUCUAAAGGGAAUUUUAUAUGCAAUAUAUUUCUAUGCAACAUUUUCAAUAAUUUCAUGCAUGACGUUUGUAUACAUUGAGAUACUGUAAAGCAAAGGUGUCAUUCUCUGAGCCUCUCUUGCAGACAGUUUCAGAUUACAAAAUAGUUCCUAUAGUCCCCGAUAAGGGAUACCCAACAAGGUAAAAUUUCCAUUUAAUUCCUAAUGUGCUAUUACCCCAAAAGGAGUCGGUUUCUGUAUGAAAAAGGACUAGCUCUCCCUUUGCUACUUGGAGGUUUGGCCUCUUUUGCUGUGAAUUAAAAAGCUUUGCAAAAAAAAAAAAAUGGGAAAAUGGGACUUAUGAAGAUGUUUGCAAUGUUGUAUUAAAUGGAGACCUCCAACAUAUAAUCUCUGUUUCUUGUAUUGCCUGUUCUGUCUCUCUAUCCAUUGUUUUAUACCGAAGUUUAAUUCAUUAAAAAGGACAUAUAUCUUUUCUUUUUUUUAAGUGCUUUGUUGCUUCAUUUUCUCUCCCAAAUACCAAAUCCUUUUCCAAGAUGAGAUGCUGAUUGGUGGCUACCAGAUUCUAUUGAUUUAAUACAGUUUGGUGCCAACUCAUCUGCCAUGUCAUGAUGCUAUAUAAUCAUAAAUAUAUGAUCCUAACCUGUGGUUCUUCUAUUUACGGAUGGCUCUCUAACUAUCACCCAGAAGGCUACCUGUAGGCACUGGAUAUUUUAAAUUUCCAGCACAGGAUGCUUCACGUCAAAUAAGAACAAAGAGAGGCCUGCCUGUUCAGACGAGGUAGUAGUAGGAACACAGUUGUCUGAAUCAGGAGGGGGUCAAAUAGCUGGAGGCUUGAAAACAGGGUUUUUGAUGCUUGGAAGUAACCCAGGCAUAGGUGCAUAAGAAAAUAGAGCAUUUUAGGCCUCACUUGCAGAUUGGAAAAAUGCAUAAACAAUACAGGACAAAUGGUUAUGGCAAUGUAGAAAGAAGCAGAGGAUUUGCACCAGAUUAUUUUGCAACACUAUAUAGCCCUGCACUAGCUAUUACAGUGAUGGGCAACCUUUUGCACUUGGUGUGUCAAAAUUCGCCAAAAAACCUAGCAUGACUUGGGUAGUGUGUCACUUCGAGAAAAAAAAACACCAUAAUUUCGCAAUAUGUAUAGUUUAAAUAACAAAAAUGUAUAAGUGUAAUAUAUAAUUGUAUUUAAUACAUCAAAAACUAUUUACUACCGUUAUUUCCAUGUACAACAAUCUAUGGUACUUCUUGCAGUUUAAGCUUCACAAAGUUUCCACACUGAUUUCUCUCUAUUCUAGUUUCAAUAUAGUCAUGAAUAAUGAAUAAUAUAAUAAUAAUAUAAUAGUAAUAAUAUGAUAAUAUACUACAAUAAUAGAAUAACAAUAGAUUUAAUAUUUCCAUGUACAACAAUCUAUGGUACUUCUUGCAGUUUAAGCUUCACAAAGUUUCCACACUGAUUUCUCUCUAUUCUAGUUUCAAUAUAGUCAUGAAUAAUGAAUAAUAUAAUAAUAAUAUAAUAGUAAUAAUAUGAUAAUAUACUACAAUAAUAGAAUAAUAAUAGAUUUAAUAUUUCCAUGUACAACAAUCUAUGGUACUUCUUGCAGUUUAAGCUUCACAAAGUUUCCACACUGAUUUCUCUCUAUUCUAGUUUCAAUAUAGUCAUGAAUAAUGAAUAAUAUAAUAAUAAUAUAAUAGUAAUAAUAUGAUAAUAUACUACAAUAAUAGAAUAAUAAUAGAUUUAAUAUUUCCAUGUACAACAAUCUAUGGUACUUCUUGCAGUUUAAGCUUCACAAAGUUUCCACACUGAUUUCUCUCUAUUCUAGUUUCAAUAUAGUCAUGAAUAAUGAAUAAUAUAAUAAUAAUAUAAUAGUAAUAAUAUGAUAAUAUACUACAAUAAUAGAAUAACAAUAGAUUUAAUAUUUCCAUGUACAACAAUCUAUGGUACUUCUUGCAGUUUAAGCUUCACAAAGUUUCCACACUGAUUUCUCUCUAUUCUAGUUUCAAUAUAGUCAUGAAUAAUGAAUAAUAUAAUAAUAAUAUAAUAGGAACGAUAUGAUAAUAUACUACAAUAAUAGAAUAAUAAUAGAUUUAAUAUUUCCAUGUACAACCAUCUAUGGUACUUCUUGCAGUUUAAGCUUCACAAAGUUUCCACACUGAUUUCUCUCUAUUCUAGUUUCAAUAUAGUCAUGAAUAAUGAAUAAUAUAAUAAUAAUAUAAUAGGAACGAUAUGAUAAUAUACUACAAUAAUAGAAUAAUAAUAGAAUGAAUGAUAUAAUAAAAAUAUAGUAUAAUAUAAUGAUAUAAAAUAUAUUAAUAGGAUAAUAUAAUAAUAGGAUAUAAUAAUAAUCUAUAUUUAUAUACAUGUACUGUUCAUUUGUAGGACGGAGUAAACAAAAAAACAACUGGAUGAAAUGACACCAAGUUUGGCCACAAAAUACUUAACAACCCAAGAGGUGACCACCGCGUGUCAGCAGAAUUGGCUAGAUGUGUCAGUGCUGACACGUGUGUCAUAGGUUCGCCAUCACUGACCUAUUAGAAUUUCAAAAUUCCAGACAAGAGUCAAUCAGGGGCAGCUAACGACUCUGAACAAAGGAUUCCCUCAGGCCAGGAUGUGAAGCUUGGAAGGCCAUUUAAUGCUAAUCAAGGUGAUUAAUCACAACAUCCACACUGGCCUCCAACAGACAAGAGUUCUUCCCCCAAACCCAGGAACUUCCACAGAUAUAUAAACCUUCCUUGCUUAGUUUCUUCAUAUAUCUCACAACCUCUGAGGAUGCCUGCCAUAGAUGUGGGAGAAAUGUCAGGAGCGAAUACUUCUGGAACAUGGCCAGACAGCCCAGAAAACACACAACAAUCCUGUGAUUCUGGCCAUUAAAGCCUUUGACCAUGCACAGCCAGUAGGCUGUAAGGAAUUGUGGGAGUUGAAGUCCAAAACACCUGGAGGGCCUGCAUUAAAGUCUUCCAAGGAUACUUUCAGGGCCGUAGCCAGAAAAAUUUGGGGGGGGGGGGGUUGAAAAUUUGGGGGGGGGGGGUGAAACCCUAAAAACCCCCACACCCGCUACAAAACUGUCAAUAUUUGCUUGAGAUAAUGCCUGGAGGGACUCUCAACGGUGGUAAUAUUAUUACUAUUAUUAAUAUUAUUAUUAUUAUUAUCAUCAUCC
This is a long non-coding RNA of Anolis carolinensis (green anole), 4387 nucleotides long. The record is from Ensembl. NCBI's taxonomy places the organism in Eukaryota, Metazoa, Chordata, Lepidosauria, Squamata, Anolidae.